ACAUUCGUCCACUAGCUGGCGAACCGCGCACACCGUUCCGCAUGCUACCGACGCCCCUGCACGCGCGCGCGCAUUGAUAGGUGGACUCGUGGGGGUGGCUUCGCGGAGAACGUUAACCCUCUUUUACUACCGAGGGAGGUAAUGAAAUUACCCCCGAGCAAGAGGUAACGCUGAAUGAUCUCGUCGAGGAACUUGAAGGCACGAAGGCGAAACGCCAAUUCAACACGCCAUUAUGAUUCGCGAACAGCAAAGGACGACUGGGAUUUCGGAGCGCAUUAAUUUUCCACCCCUGCGCAGGAUCGCUACUUUACCCUACAUAGAACGGUUCUGCCGACCAAUGACGUCACUCGAGUGCCCUCGAAGGACACUCCCACUUUCUACCCCCGUAAAAGUCCUUGUGAUGCUGUCGAUGCUUAUCGCCGAUGCGUUACGCAGGGGUGACGAUUAUUCGGGGUUUCUAUGGACGUCGCUAAUUGAGAGAAAACGAGGGAUGCUGUACAACGGACGUUCUAGAAAUUGGACGCAGUCAAAGGCUAUGGGGAGAACAACACAGAUUUUCCAAAAUCAAACGAAAUCAGAAUUCUCGGAAUUGUCGAAAUAGAUUUCUCUUUUAUGUAAUGUUUCGCAGCGGAAAUGAUCGUAAUCACAUUACAUAACAAAUAACAAAUUUUAAUAGAGUAUUACGUUGAUGGUCCGUCAAGCGAAUAGAAAGUUGCGUUUUCAGUUAACUUUUCUAUAAAGAAAAGCGAAAAAGCGCGCGCGCGUAUUAGAAAAAAAGCUGCAUUCAAGUUUUCCUUCCUCAUACUAGUGUUAUUAUUAUUCCCGUUACGUUUCUGAUACAUCGCGACAUUAAUAUCCCUUCCAAUUUUUAGAUUGACGUUUCCGAGCUAUUUACAUCGUGCGGGUAGCUUGUAACGGGGAUUAAGGAUGAUUAAAGCUGAAAAGAGUCAUGAACGAAAAUGGGCCUGAUUCACGUGAUUAUACCAGUCCGCCGUGUGAACGUUCUUCGUGCCUUUUGAUUUCUUAACGCGCUCAUUUAUCACAAUUAUCGUUCCGUUGCUAUUUAUAUUCCUACAUAUUUCUCCGCAGUGUGCCAGUUGCAUGUUACCAGUGUUACGCGCCCCAUAGAUUUAUGGAAAUUCCUUUAUUAAUAGAAAACUGCGUUACAUUGCUUCUUCAUUUAUUAAACGAAUUAUUAUUCCAUUUUACAACUUAUCUAAUAACAGUUAUUAUGCAAAUUAUUCUCAUUACAUUGCGAGAGUAAUAAAUUUCGAUCAUUAAAGUGUUGCAAUUUGUUAUUAUUACAAUUCUUUAUUAAAAUUAUCAAUUAAAUUUCAUGAUGAAAUUA
Molecule: long non-coding RNA, 1348 nt
Organism: Ooceraea biroi (clonal raider ant)
Lineage: Eukaryota; Metazoa; Arthropoda; Insecta; Hymenoptera; Formicidae
Source: RefSeq, a predicted model, not a curated record